RNAcentral lists this ribosomal RNA (253 nucleotides) under uncultured bacterium. RNAcentral's name for it is "partial 16S ribosomal RNA". It matches the Rfam family "Bacterial small subunit ribosomal RNA", at positions 524 to 776 of the family's 1533-position model. The record is from RNAcentral.
GACAGAGGGUGCAAACGUUGCUCGGAAUUACUGGGCGUAAAGGGCGCGUAGGCGGCCUUCUAAGUCGAACGUGAAAUCCCCGGGCUCAACCCGGGAACUGCGUCCGAUACUGGAAGGCUUGAAUCCGGGAGAGGGAUGCGGAAUUCCAGGUGUAGCGGUGAAAUGCGUAGAUAUCUGGAGGAACACCGGUGGCGAAGGCGGCAUCCUGGACCGGCAUUGACGCUGAGGCGCGAAAGCCAGGGGAGCAAACGGG